This 374-nucleotide unclassified non-coding RNA is filed under the name Hevea brasiliensis (rubber tree). The record is from RNAcentral. Lineage: Eukaryota; Viridiplantae; Streptophyta; Magnoliopsida; Malpighiales; Euphorbiaceae.
AGUAGACAUUAUUCAUAACACACCUCUAGCUCAGAACAGAGGUUUUGAACAUAAAACAGACUUUUUCAAACACAGCUGCUACAUUAUUGCUCGCUUUCAUAUAGCUGUGCUAGUUGAAAUUAUAGAUGUAUGUGUUCAAUUGCCGCAGUUGCAAUUCUUACAGCUGCAGGGGUUGCAGCUGCACUUGUCAUUGUGCUCGGCCACUGGAGCGUCCAUAACUAUGGUGUCAAAUGAGCUCUUCUCAUUCUCCAUGAUGACAGCUCCGUAGCUGCUUCCUUUUUUCACGCACUGGCUCUUGUCGGAGCAGUCACAGUUGCCACAGCUUGACAUUGUUAAGAAGCUAGAAAAGUUGCUGGAGAAGGGAAAACAGAUAG